UGGGGAAUAUUGGACAAUGGGCGCAAGCCUGAUCCAGCCAUGCCGCGUGAGUGAUGAAGGCCUUAGGGUUGUAAAGCUCUUUUGGCGGGGACGAUAAUGACGGUACCCGCAGAAGAAGCCCCGGCUAACUUCGUGCCAGCAGCCGCGGUAAUACGAAGGGGGCUAGCGUUGCUCGGAAUCACUGGGCGUAAAGGGCGCGUAGGCGGACAUUUAAGUCGGGGGUGAAAGCCCAGGGCUCAACCCUGGAAUUGCCUCCGAUACUGGGUGUCUCGAGACCGGAAGAGGUGAGUGGAACUGCGAGUGUAGAGGUGAAAUUCGUAGAUAUUCGCAAGAACACCAGCGGCGAAGGCGGCUCACUGGUCCGGUUCUGACGCUGAGGCGCGAAAGCGUGGGGAGCAAACAGGAUUAGAUACCCUGGUAGUCCACGCCGUAAACGAUGGAUGCUAGCCGUUGGCAGGCUUGCCUGUCAGUGGCGCAGCUAACGCUUUAAGCAUCCCGCCUGGGGAGUACGGCCGCAAGGUUAAAACUCAAAGGAAUUGACGGGGUCAUAGCUGUUUCCU
Molecule: ribosomal RNA, 560 nt
Filed under: uncultured bacterium
Lineage: Bacteria
Description: partial 16S ribosomal RNA
Rfam family: Bacterial small subunit ribosomal RNA
Source: RNAcentral